AUCACAUCAAUCCGGUGGAUCAAAUGAAUCCGGUGGAUCACAUCAAUCCGGUGGAUCAAAUGAUUCCAUGAUCCACUACGAUGUAUUGGGUUUGACUAAACUGGCUACAAAGGCUGACAUUAAAAAGAAAUUUCGUGAAUUGGCUAGAGAGCAUCAUCCAGAUAAAAACAUGGAUUUAUCUACCGAUGAACUUUUGAAGAAACAAGAAGUUAUGAAACGGAUCAAUUCAGCCUACGUAGCUUUGAAGGGAUGAUAAAAGUCGUGAAUUCGAAUUCAAUUUCAAUUUCGAGGAUAAAUUUUGGUUUAUUGAACGGAUAUAGCGAUAGCAAUUUGCAUAAAUUUCAUAAAUUAAAAGCCUCUGUUCGUCAAACACGUUUCAUGACUUGGUUUAGCGAACCGAAUGCACUGAAAGAGCCAACUAAAUAACUGGCCAACCAAAGACUGUGCCUCGUCAACGAAAGCAAUAAAACGAAUCAAGAUCUUUUGGUGGUUCAGCCUUUCGGUGCAUUCCGGUUUGCGAUACCAAGCCGAUCACAUUUGUAUUCCAUUUUCGC
Molecule: long non-coding RNA, 554 nt
Organism: Bradysia coprophila
Lineage: Eukaryota; Metazoa; Arthropoda; Insecta; Diptera; Sciaridae
Source: RefSeq, a predicted model, not a curated record